This 253-nucleotide ribosomal RNA is filed under the name uncultured bacterium. RNAcentral describes it as "partial 16S ribosomal RNA". It matches the Rfam family "Bacterial small subunit ribosomal RNA", at positions 524 to 776 of the family's 1533-position model. The record is from RNAcentral.
GACAGAGGGGGCAAGCGUUGCUCGGAAUCACUGGGCGUAAAGGGCGCGUAGGCGGGCUGGCAAGUCGGUCGUGAAAUCCUUCGGCUCAACCGAAGAACGUCGGCCGAUACUGCCGUUCUUGAGGGAUGCAGAGGAGAUUGGAAUUCCCGGUGUAGCGGUGAAAUGUGUAGAGAUCGGGAGGAACACCGGUGGCGAAGGCGGGUCUCUGGGCAUCUCCUGACGCUGAGGCGCGAAAGCGUGGGGAGCAAACGGG